Octopus bimaculoides (California two-spot octopus) is the source of this 303-nucleotide long non-coding RNA. The record is from RefSeq and is a predicted model, not a curated record. Lineage: Eukaryota; Metazoa; Mollusca; Cephalopoda; Octopoda; Octopodidae.
AGAUCGAAUGAAACUUGAGACGGAUGAAUCGUUAUCAAAUCUGUUUCGAUUAAAUAGAAAUUUAGUUUCAGUCAUGUGACUGCGGCCAUGCUGGAGCACCGCUUUUUAAAUCGAGCAAAUCGACCCAAGGAGUUAUUCUUUGUAAGCCUAUUAAUAUUCUGUCGUCUCUUUUGCCGAACUGCUAUGUUACGGGGAGUACACACACCAGAAACUAUUGUCUGAGCCACUUCUCAGACGUUCUUACAACUUUGGUUGUCGUAAUACUUUGCCUUCAUUUGUUUAAUAAAAAAUUCUUCCUCCUAA